AUGAUGGCCGGUCAUAGUUUAGUAAAGAUUUUAAGUGGGUUUGCUUGGACUAUGCUAUUUCUGAAUAAUAUUUUCUAUUUCAUAGGAGAUCUUGGUCCCUUAUUUAUAGUUCUAGCAUUAACCGGUCUGGAAUUAGGUGUAGCUAUAUCACAAGCUCAUGUUUCUACGAUCUCAAUUUGUAUUUACUUGAAUGAUGCUACAAAUCUCCAUCAAAAUGAGUCAUUAAAUAAUUGA
This 234-nucleotide ribosomal RNA is filed under the name Triticum aestivum (bread wheat). RNAcentral's name for it is "partial small subunit ribosomal RNA". Lineage: Eukaryota; Viridiplantae; Streptophyta; Magnoliopsida; Poales; Poaceae. The record is from RNAcentral.